This 499-nucleotide ribosomal RNA is filed under the name uncultured bacterium. RNAcentral describes it as "bacterial SSU rRNA". It matches the Rfam family "Bacterial small subunit ribosomal RNA", at positions 8 to 518 of the family's 1533-position model. The record is from RNAcentral.
AGAGUUUGAUCAUGGCUCAGGAUGAACGCUGGCGGCGUGCUUAACACAUGCAAGUCGAACGGAGUUUAGAUGAAAGCUUGCUUUGACUAACUAGUGGCGGACGGGUGAGUAACGCGUGGGUAACCUGCCUUAGUACAGGGGGAUAACAGUCGGAAACGACUGCUAAUACCGCAUAAGCGCACGGAAUCGCAUGAUUCAGUGUGAAAAGAUUUAUCGGUAUAAGAUGGACCCGCGUCUGAUUAGCUAGUUGGUGAGGUAACGGCCCACCAAGGCGACGAUCAGUAGCCGGCCUGAGAGGGUGAACGGCCACAUUGGGACUGAGACACGGCCCAAACUCCUACGGGAGGCAGCAGUGGGGAAUAUUGCACAAUGGGGGAAACCCUGAUGCAGCGACGCCGCGUGAGUGAAGAAGUAUUUCGGUAUGUAAAGCUCUAUCAGCAGGGAAGAAAAUGACGGUACCUGACUAAGAAGCCCCGGCUAACUACGUGCCAGCCGCAGC